UACGUAGGGUGCGAGCGUUGUCCGGAAUUACUGGGCGUAAAGAGCUCGUAGGUGGUUUGUCGCGUUGUUCGUGAAAACUCACAGCUUAACUGUGGGCGUGCGGGCGAUACGGGCAGACUGGAGUACUGCAGGGGAGACUGGAAUUCCUGGUGUAGCGGUGGAAUGCGCAGAUAUCGGGAGGAACACCCGUGGCGAAAGCGGCUCUCUGGGACGGUACUGACGCUGAGACGCGAAAGCGUGGGGAGCAAACAGG
Molecule: ribosomal RNA, 253 nt
Filed under: uncultured bacterium
Lineage: Bacteria
Description: partial 16S ribosomal RNA
Rfam family: Bacterial small subunit ribosomal RNA
Source: RNAcentral